Long non-coding RNA from Herpailurus yagouaroundi (jaguarundi), 782 nucleotides. RefSeq lists it as uncharacterized. The transcript is spliced from 3 exons. The record is from RefSeq and is a predicted model, not a curated record. NCBI's taxonomy places the organism in Eukaryota, Metazoa, Chordata, Mammalia, Carnivora, Felidae.
GGUCCCACCCUUCAGAGCUUCAUCUCAAAGGCCACUUCUUCCAAGGAGCUGUCCCUGAUUCUCCCAGGUGAGUUUGAACUCUCCUUUUCUGCAGCCUCAGCACUACUUGGAUGGAAUUGUCCACUUUAGUCGUAUUUGUAUACCUCUCCAAUCCUGCUCUCUGCCCACCUCUCUCACAUAUGCAAUGGCCUGGGAGCUCCUUUAAAGGGACGCCGAGCCAGAACUAGUAUGGCACAGAGUGACGACGAACAUUUCCUUUUGACCUCUGCCUGGGCUGCUCCCGUUUCCUAGAACUCUUACCUCCACCUGACUACAUCCUACUGACCCUUCAAGUCAUGGUCAGACGUUGCCUCCUCCAGGAAGCCCUCCUGGCUUUUCCACUGGACAGGGAAGCCAGGUCACGAUGUUACGGAGAGCCACUUCCGGGUGAGACCAGAAGGGGCAAGCAUCGUGCUCAAGGUAACACAGCCAAGCGGCGGCUCCUCACCAGGGCUCUGUGCCAUCCGUUGCCCCGCUCCCCCCACCUGGCAGCCUCCCGGCUCUGGCCAAAUAACCCGCCCCAGGCCCCGGGGACGCAGCGCCAGAGGGAGGUAACAAUAAAAGCUUAUCAAACAGCAUGUAGGAGGCAGCCACAGAUUUCAGAGGCUAAGUAAUCUGUGUCUAAUGUUCACUUAGCAGAGCGUGAGCCUCUGACAUGUCAGCGCUCGCGGUCUGACCCUGCAGUGGCCGGAGCUUUUGAAGCUGAGGGAAACGGAGUCAUCCUGCGUUCCUAGAGCUUUCUA